GGUCCUAUAGCUCAGUUGGUUAGAGCACCUGACUCAUAAUCAGGGGGUCCCAGGAUCAUGCCCUGGUGGGACCACAA
RNAcentral lists this transfer RNA (77 nucleotides) under Chitinophaga sp. MD30. RNAcentral's name for it is "tRNA-Met". It matches the Rfam family "tRNA". From Rfam's summary of the family: Transfer RNA (tRNA) molecules are approximately 80 nucleotides in length. Their secondary structure includes four short double-helical elements and three loops (D, anti-codon, and T loops). Lineage: Bacteria; Pseudomonadati; Bacteroidota; Chitinophagia; Chitinophagales; Chitinophagaceae. The record is from RNAcentral.